AGAUCGAUCCCCAUUGUCCCAAUUCCAACACCAUAAUUCUAGCCAAAAAAAGAAAAAAGCAAUGGGCAAAACCCUCUUCUAUUUUGCACCCAACAACAGAAGAACGAAGAAAAACCAAAACUCCGCAGAAAGGAAAUAUCUUCGAGGAAGAAGGAAAGAUAAUGGUAAGGCAAAGGAGGUGGAAGUAGUGAGUGGGCUAAACUGGGGCACGUACAUGGGGAGAUGGUACAAGAUCACCUCCUUCCCCUCCUCGUUCCAGCCCUGUAAUGGCAUUGACACUCGGUCCACUCACACCCUCACAAGGGACUGUCUACGUUUUCAUUGAGUGCUGGGGCGACGGAAAGAGGAGACUCCAUCCCGCCUACAAGGCCGGCACUAACAGCGACGCGGCGAAGGCGAAGGCGAGGUUCGACAUCCCACCGAUCCUGCCUAUCUUCCUCGUCACCGGCGUACUCGGUCCUUUACAUCGAUGACGACUACUAGUACCCUCUUAUCGGCCAGCCCAACAAGAAGUAUCCGUGAUUCAUCUGAUAGUCUGCUCUGUAGCUUUCGCUUCUUCCCCUGCUGACUGACCCCGCCCCCUGGAGCUUCAUUCUGCCCCGUUGCGCAAAUUAAUCAGGAAAGAUUCGAUUGUAAGCUCUAGCGGCAUCAUGACCCAAAUAGCUGUUAUACAAACAGGACCCUAGCAAUCCAUUUUCAUACAGAAGACAACAGCUUAUCCAAUUUUCUCAUUCUAGACAAACAGCAUUUUUUUUUGGAGUGUGUAGCAAGAGACCUUUUAAUAAGCAUUUGGAGGGUGGCUUUUGCAGCAGUUUUAGCAGGAGUCGUGUUUUUUGCUUCAGUAGGUCAUUUUUGUUGCUUGUCCUGCGAAAGAUAAACAAUAAAUAAAGAAAAAGAUGAAGGCUAAUCGACUGUUUUUCUUACGAGGGAAUCGUGACAACUUCAAAUAGUAAAAUCCAUGGAGAUAUAUACAUUUGCACAUAUAACACCAAAUCUGUUUUUGGCUAUUGCUACAUCCACGGGGUUGUGGAAAGAUGGACUUUAGACCUUUUCUAAUCGGCUUGAACCCUACUGUUCAGUUUCUUUUUCCAUGUAAAACAAAAAUUAGAUUAUCAAGCAGGACAGGAGCGGCCUCAGAAAUGUAAUUCAAUUCUUGGAAAUAUAAGAGGCAUUUCAUGCUCGA
Punica granatum (pomegranate) is the source of this 1183-nucleotide non-coding RNA. Lineage: Eukaryota; Viridiplantae; Streptophyta; Magnoliopsida; Myrtales; Lythraceae. The record is from RefSeq and is a predicted model, not a curated record.